GAUGAACGCUGGCGGCGUGCCUAAUACAUGCAAGUCGAGCGGACAGACAAUGAGCUUGCUCCUCUACCGUUAGCGGCGGCCGGGUGAGUAACACGUGGAUCACCUACUUCUAUGUCUUGGAUAACUUCGGGAAACCGGAGCCACUACCGGCUAAUAUAUUGAACCGCAUGGUUCAAUAGAUAAUGACGGUUUUGCUGUCUCUUAUAGAUGGUUCCGCGCCGGAUUAGCUAGUUGGUAAGGUCCCGGCAUACCAAGGCAACGAUGCGUAGCCGACCUGAGAGGGUGAUCGGCCACACUGGAACUGAGACACGGUCCAGACUCCUACGGGAGGCAGCAGUGGGGAAUCUUCGGCAAUGGGCGAAAGCCUGACGGAGCAACGCCGCGUGAGUGAUGAAGGCCUUCGGAUCGUAAAACUCUGUUAUUAGGGAAGAACAAAUGUAUAAUUAACUAUGGACGUCUUGACGGUACCUAAACAAAAAGCAACGGCUAACUACGUG
Molecule: ribosomal RNA, 497 nt
Filed under: uncultured bacterium
Lineage: Bacteria
Description: partial 16S ribosomal RNA
Rfam family: Bacterial small subunit ribosomal RNA
Source: RNAcentral